Molecule: long non-coding RNA, 476 nt
Organism: Salvia splendens (bonfire salvia)
Lineage: Eukaryota; Viridiplantae; Streptophyta; Magnoliopsida; Lamiales; Lamiaceae
Exons: 2
Source: RefSeq, a predicted model, not a curated record
UUGGGAUCUGGGUUUAAGAGAUUUUUCCCCAACCGCGAAACCCCAAUUUCCGAUUUCACAGAUUCCCCGCGCCAGAGAGAGAUGAAACCAAUACCAUUACCGCCGGGUGAAGAAGUGGCGCCGAAGCUCACGCGACUCCUCUACUUCGUCGGCGCCGGAGUUGUUUGCACUGCCGUGAUUAACAAGUGGAAAGAAUAUGAGAAGAAAUCGAUGAUUCAGAAGGAGCAGCAAAUGAAUGAAUCGUCUCCAGAAAAUUCGCCGGCUGUGGUACAGAAGGCUGGUGAAUGAGAUUGAUUCAGUUUUGUUUUGAUUUUUAAUAAGCUGAAAUUUAUUAGAUUUGAUUCUGAGGCGAUUUAGUAGCUGAGAAAUUUUUUGCUUGGAUUGAUGAAACUAUUUGGGUGGAUUCUGCUGCUAUUUCUGUGCGUAUUGCGUAUUGAUAUCAAUUCUAAUGAUUCUGAGUUUUUGUUUUUGAGUUA